Columba livia (rock pigeon) is the source of this 1141-nucleotide long non-coding RNA. RefSeq lists it as uncharacterized. The transcript is spliced from 3 exons. The record is from RefSeq and is a predicted model, not a curated record. Lineage: Eukaryota; Metazoa; Chordata; Aves; Columbiformes; Columbidae.
CUGUUGCUGGCUGAAGUCCCUGGCUCUUCCCUCAAGCCCUGACCCUUUUGGUUGCAGCACACAUUUGUAAGUGGUGUCCUUGGCCACCCUGUGGCUCUACAGCUGCUUCCCAACUGGCGUGCUCUCUCAGACUGUUUCUAGGCUGGCUCCUUUCCCCAGCCCCAUGGAGAUGGCUCUUCCUGGCUCUGCUGUCCUAGGACUGACUAAAAUGUCACUGGCCCAGUCCUUGCCUUGUAGGUCACACUAAGGAGGAGGAGUGAUGCCAGUUCUUUCUUAGAAGUUUUCAAAGCAGCAUUCUUCAUCUUUCUUUCUUUCUGCCUGUGGAUAUGAAAGGAGCUUCUCAGAAAUGUCUGCAGUAUGUCAUCGUCUACCUUCGAAACUCUUCCGCACCAAAAUACCUAUGAAACCUGUGACAAGCAUUUAAGCUGUAGUCUGGAAUUACCUUAUAGAUAAGUAAACCUGACAGCUAGCUGUUACCAAAAGCCAUGUUUUUCCUUCUGUCCCCUCAACAGUCAUGGCCACGUGUUCCCACGCAGUCUCCUGUGCCACCGCUUUUACUCAUGUGAUCCUGUAGUGAGAUGUUUAAAGAAGCUAAAUUAGCAGAAAAACAACUGCUUUUCUAUAAAAGCAGAUUUCUGCCCGUUAAGUUGCACAAAUUGGGAGGAGAUGAGUUUUGAUGUCAAAGCAAGGGAAGACAAUUACUGGGGCACAGGAGUGGCGCAGCGUUACCCUUCUCUGUCAGCAGUUAGCUUUCAGAUCAGCUUGGCCAUGAUCGCACCUCUGAGCAGUGAGUCCUGAGAAUACUGCUUAUCACAUUGAUCUGUGUUGUCUUGCUGUCUCCCUGGGCUCUUGUGUCUGUAACCACCUUAUUUCCUUUGUUUUCUAUUUUGGUUGUAAGGUUUUUUCAGGGGCUGCCUCUCUGUACUGCAUUUGUAAACCACAACUUUUGCAACUUUGAAAGUUUUUGCUGUGACGUUUACCACACCUUAUUUUCCUUCCUAACAGAUGUCAAAUAUUAUUAUUUCUUGUUCAGGGAGGAUGACACUGCCUCCACACAGCUGUUUGCCGAUGUCCUUGUGAAAAGACUUGGUCUUAUAACGUCUCCUCUGCAUAACAUAAAUAAAGUCAAUAUUGGAAAUAA